Molecule: ribosomal RNA, 465 nt
Filed under: Vreelandella stevensii
Lineage: Bacteria; Pseudomonadati; Pseudomonadota; Gammaproteobacteria; Oceanospirillales; Halomonadaceae
Description: partial 16S ribosomal RNA
Rfam family: Bacterial small subunit ribosomal RNA
Source: RNAcentral
CCUACGGGCGGCAGCAGUGGGGAAUAUUGGACAAUGGGGGGAACCCUGAUCCAGCCAUGCCGCGUGUGUGAAGAAGGCCCUCGGGUUGUAAAGCACUUUCAGUGAGGAAGAACGCCUGGUGGUUAAUACCCAUCAGGAAAGACAUCACUCACAGAAGAAGCACCGGCUAACUCCGUGCCAGCAGCCGCGGUAAUACGGAGGGUGCGAGCGUUAAUCGGAAUUACUGGGCGUAAAGCGCGCGUAGGUGGCUUGAUAAGCCGGUUGUGAAAGCCCCGGGCUCAACCUGGGAACGGCAUCCGGAACUGUCAAGCUAGAGUGCAGGAGAGGAAGGUAGAAUUCCCGGUGUAGCGGUGAAAUGCGUAGAGAUCGGGAGGAAUACCAGUGGCGAAGGCGGUCUUCUGGACUGACACUGACACUGAGGUGCGAAAGCGUGGGUAGCAAACAGGAUUAGAUACCCUUGUAGUC